This is an RNA transcript of Entelurus aequoreus (snake pipefish), 7156 nucleotides long. It is a transcript of the gene named origin recognition complex, subunit 3, with no coding region annotated. The record is from RefSeq and is a predicted model, not a curated record. Lineage: Eukaryota; Metazoa; Chordata; Actinopteri; Syngnathiformes; Syngnathidae. The transcript is spliced from 22 exons.
GUAUGUUGAACUAAGUACGGGGGUAGUUAACAAUUAAAAUAAUUUAAGGUCAUUAUUUAGAUAUUGUCCUGUGCAAUAAAUGUGUUUAACUAAUUAAAACAUUUCGCGGCCGCCCUGCUGUUUUAAAACGUUGACCAAGAAGCAUUACGUCUUGAACACAACUCUUUCCGUAAACGUCAUCAUGGCGGGAAGUAGUUGCUGAGACAACUUCCACUGAGCAGGUUUGCUCCGCAGUUAAAUGUUCGACUUCAAGCAGUGAGUGGUUGUUAUUUAUAGAUAGCUAACUGAUGCUAACAUGUCUACAUCUUCAGUAUCAAAGGGUUGUUUUGUUUUCAAGCCAGACGUCCAGAAGAAGAAGAAAAGUUCACUCGGUUUAGAGGACUACUUUAAUCAUGGCUGUGAAGGAGCUGAGACCAAUGAAAUGCGCUUCAAACUCUUUCAUGAUCUAUGGAACAAAACAACAACAGAUACAGAGCUUUUGCAGGAGGAACUCAAUAGGCAAAUCCUGGACAACCUGCUGGACUUCACCAAGAAGUCUUACUCCACUCGUCAACAAAGCGACUGGGCCUCUCAGAUGAGGGCAAGCGAGAUUCCCACAGCAGCACUCAUGCUUGGUGUAAACGUGCCGGAUCAUGACAUGACCUUCCAGAGCCUGUCUGAGCUGCUACAGCAGUCUGUCACUCCUCAUGUAGCCUGUGUCCAGGCCAAAGAGUGUACAGCAUUGAAGCACUUGAUGAAGAGGGUCUUGGAAAGGUUGAUGGACACCGUGGUGGCUUUUGAUGAUGAAGAUGAAGACGAGGAGGCGGAGCAGAGAAGCACUCAGGCACACAAAAAUAUGCAGUGUUCCCUGAGCUCGCUCUGUGAAUGGUACAAUACGCAAACAAAGAAAUCAGACACUCCUGGGAAAAAGCGCAAGUCUCCAAGCAAAGAUCAUCAUCCUCCCAUUGUUAUUAUUUUUAAAGAUUUGGAGGCCUUCAACCACAGAGUUCUUCAGGACUUCAUACUUACCUGCAGUCGCUACAUCGAGCGGCUCCCUCUCAUGUUCAUCUUCGGCAUCGCCACAUCGCCCAGCACCAUCCAGCACAUGCUUCCCCACUCUGUGUCGUCGCUGCUGUGCAUCGAGCUCUUCCAGUCCCUGUCGUGUACUCAGCACUUGGCCACCGUCAUAGACAAGUUGAUCCUGACAACUCAUUUCCCCUUUAAGUUGACUGGCAAAGUAAUGCAAGUGCUGGUCAGCCUCUUCCUCUACCAUGAUUUCUCAGUGCGGAACUUCAUCAAGGGCUUUCAGCUGGCCCUGUUGGAGCACUUCCACUCACAGCCUCUCAGUGUGCUGUGCUGCAAGAAGAAGGAAGCUCUGAGAAACGUCACGCUGCUCAGCCACACCGACCUAGAAAGGAUCAGGAAGCUGCCAUCAUUCACAAGGUAUGUUGAGAAACAGCAAACUGAAGAGCAAGCUGAACUGUUAAAGAAUGAUGCUCACCUUAAGGAGGUUUGCCAGCAGCUGAUCAAGGACCUUGACAAAUACCACAAGAACUAUUACCCCACACUCAAGUGUCUUCACGCUUUGACCUCGUCGUUGCCUCGCUACCCCCUCGGGAAACAGAUUCGGGAGCUCCAUUUAAUUUGCUUGGAGAAAAGUGUUUGGGAGACCGAGGAUUACCAUUCAGCCUUGAAGCUGCUUAAGAUGUUGGCCAAGGAUGAGCUGAUUGCAUCGCUCCAGAGAUGCGCGGAGAUCCUGCAUCCGGUCAAGUCAAAGAAGAUGAAGAGCGCCCUAGUCCAGCUGGAAGACAUGCUCGCCAAAUUUAAGCAGUUGGAUGUUCUUGUACCGGCAGCUGCCAACGAGGUGGUUCAAUGUGAGGAAGAAACUCUCACCUCUCCUGUGAACAACCUUCAGAAAAAGACUGACCUGUUCCAGCUGCAGAAGGCCCUUCUGGAGAUGAAAGAGUCCAGAAGGUCCAAGAAGCAAAGUCCAUUUGAGAUCCUACGAAGUGAAGCACUGGAGUUUUUCGACUACCUCGUAAAGAGUCACCUGUCUCCUCCAGAAUGUCAGACGCUGCAUGAAGUUUGCUACUACAGCUCAUCAUCCACCAUCAGACGCCAUCUCAACGCGACACCUCGCAUCUCCAUUCAGGCAGCGCUCAGAAGUCCUUACUAUUAUCUUUUGAACGAGAACCUAAAAACAGAGGACGGGAGUGUCUCCAAUGCAGCGCCAGACAUCUGCCUCACGUACAAGCUGCACCUGGAGUGUGGCCGCCUGAUUAACCUCUAUGACUGGCUGCAAGCCUACGCCACUGUGGUCUCUGCUGCAGACGGCCAUGAUCCGGAUUCUGACGACUUUGGGAAAGUGGAUGACGUCAAACACGCUCGGUUCAUCCGAGCUGUGUCGGAGCUAGAAUUUUUGGGCUUUAUCAAGUCCACCAAGCAGAAGACAGACCAUGUGGCCCGACUUACGUGGGGGGGAUGCUGACUUGCAUUUCAGUGGUUCAAAUUGACAUUUUUUUGUAGUUCCCCAUUUUACCUUAUCAGCAGCAUUCAAAGUCUCUUUAAAUGUUAAUCUGUCAACAAGCCCAGGCUUUUAUGAACUGACAUGUGCUGUAGAUAUACACCAAUAACUUCAUAAAGUGACUGAAAGGUGGCCAAUGACUAGUCUUCAAUAUGUAAACAACACAAAUGUUAUGUCCUAAGAGAAUGCUAUUCAACUGGCAGGCCGGGAAUAGGAUAGACUUUAUUCAUCCCACAAUGGGGAAUUUUUGUGGUUGCAGUGCAGGUACAAAAACCCCACUUGAAAAGAAACAUUAAGGACAUAAGACAUUAAAAGAGCAGAGCUGAUGCAACUAUCUGCCAAUUCAGCUGCAUCAUUUCUACAUACAGCUACAAAAAUAAUAAAACAAAAUAGUGAUAAAUACUACAUAUUGCGCACAUACGAUAGCACCAUUCAUAGACAAACGACAAAACAAAAGCACAUUUCAACAUCACAUACUGUACACCGCGGUGGCCUCUGCAGUGCUCCACACCACCGUACACUGGGGUGGAAGGCCACACGGCCAGACAGGAACAGACCCAAAGAGGCAACCAAGAUAGCCGUCUCCGUCCUAGGCUGCCCCCGGCCAAUAUGCGGGCCACGCAGAUGAGCAACAAGACUCAAGACGCUCCACAGCUGCGUGCGUCUCUUCCUUUGGUUUCUCCAUGCGGACUCCCGUGUGGCAUAGAGCCAGCAGCUGGUCUCCGUUGCAAACAUGGCCAAAACGCUCCCCCUAGCAGAUCCAAAGGUUCAUAAAAAACAUCAAGUUCAGCUCAGAACAGGAGAGACUAACAAUGUAGUUGAAUAUCACAAGCAUGCUCUGCAGUUGACAUGUUUUUUGUCUAUUUCUACUAUCAGUGGUGCAAAUUUAGCCGUUAUACACAACACAAAUGUCAACAAGUCUUUCUUUGAAAGAUAACUAUUUAUUAUAUUGUCUACAUUUAUUAAGUACAUAAGGCCAGCUCUUAAUGUAUUUUCUGUAAAUAAAAUGGAAGCUCAUAAACAUGCUUUAAAAUUAAAAGAUCCUUUAUUGUUUUCUUCUGAUAAGUACAAUGGAUUCAAAGUGAUACAAGUAAAACAAAUCAAAAUAAAUAAAACACUGGUUGAGAGAAGGAGAAGAAAACCCCAAAAUCUAAUUAAAGUACUUAAUUAUAUAAAAAGGAGACGCAAGCGUCUGGUUUUAACGGUCAUCCACGAUUGACCAGCAAACUACGCUGCUCUGUCAUAUUUACACGUAACAAACAGAAGAGUGAGAAGCCUGGAAUGCUGGGAAAUCGUCACAAAAAGUGUGAGAAGUGUCAGCACGUGCACAUCUGGGACACGGACCAACCACAGGUGGAGGGAGACUGGGGGGGUGGUCCGCUUACAUCGGGAAGCACCGGGUUGUUUACAACCAUUUGCCCAACCACAGAAAUAUGGCACAGUAAGAAAGAAGUUUCAUUUAAACUAGCUAUAAACUGAAACUUGUCACGUCAACGAUGAGCUUUGAGUGUUUUUUUCCCCCCCUUCCCGGAGAUGUCACAGGAUCUGUGCGCUCAGGAAACAUCUGGAGAAGAAAGGCCGAUGAAAUAACAGUUAAGAAAGCAGAUGUGUAACUUUAAACUUUCCCCUGCGGGACUGGAAUGUGGGAAUCUUAUGGAGCCAGAGAGAUACGACUUACAGCUUGCAGGUUGUUCGCCGAAUCGACGCAUUAGCUGGUCGUGCGUGAACUUCACAAAAGUGUCGUAUUGUUCUGCAAGAACAAGCACUUUUAUUAGAAAUAAACAAACCCCUAAUGAUAACUUAAUGAACAAUGAUUGAAAUGCAGAAUAAUAACAGUCGUCACAGCAGCAACUCCCAGACCUUGCAAGUAUUCCUCUUGUGAGCAGCAUUAGGGAUGACUUCAACAUUAUUGCGACGCUACCAACCUGCCAGUUUGGAAGUCAUGGUCUCCUCAUACUCCUCCCGGACCUUCUCUUCCCUUUCUUUCAGCAAGCGUUCACAGAUCAUCCCGACUUGUUUGAGGGUAAAUAGCGGCUGCUCUUUCCUCGACGGAGAACUGCCUCCAGAGGACGUCGCUGCAAAUGACAAACAAGCAUCAUUAUUAUUUCAAGAAUACCUGAUGAACAAAAGCAUCACAAAUGGACCACAACAGCCUUCAAUCUCGCAGUUCCUGGACAAUCGUGUCGGGCAUUACAGUAUGACUCAUCCACAGCAGAAAGCUAUCACCAAUGCAAUACUGUCUGACUUGAUUAUUGAUUGCAACUUGCCCCCGUCUAUUGUGGAAAACAAGAGUUUUCACCACUUUCUGACAGUACUUGACAGCAAGUACACCCCAGUGUGUCGCAGAACACUGACAUCAAAAACAGAGAACCUCACUGAAGAAAGACGAUCAAAAUUAAAAACUCAAUUGAGCCACACUGACCAUGUUUCAGUGACUGUCGACAUUUGGUCUGACCGAAAGAUGAGGGGAUUCCUCGGUGUCACUGUGCACUGGAUGGACAAAGGCAGAGAGGAUACAGCUCAAGUCCAAUCUCUUGGCUUGUGAGCGCUUCAAAGGCUCACAUACAGCUGAACGAAUCUGUGACAAAUUUGAGGCUAUAUGUGAUGAAUACAACAUUAAAGCUAAACUGGACUACAUUAUUAGUGACAAUGCUGCUAACAUGCGAAAAGCAUUCACUGUGUGCUUCCCCAGUGAACAAGAGGAUGACGAUGAUGGAGAUCAUCUGGAUGACCCUGAGCUCUGGUGUGAUUUAACCGUGGAAGAUCAGCAAACGGUAGAUGUUGCUAUGGCAAAGAAAAAGCGCUUGCACUGUUUAGCACACACUCUUCAGCUGGUGGUGGGAGAUGGUUUGAAAGAAACAAAAGUGGUAUCUCCUUCUCUUUCGAAGUUAUCUAAACUCAGCUCACUGCUGCACACAAGCACAACAUUCAAAGAUGUGUUUGAUGCUGAAUUUGGGGAACAGAAAGGCAUCCCUGCUGCAGUCAACACAAGAUGGAACUCAACACUGAGGCAAGCGAAGGCUGUUCUCCAGUGCAAUCAUGUAAGGCUCUGUGCUGUUCUAGAAAAGGCUGGGCACAGGGAGUUGUCAUUCACAGCACGGGAGUGGAAUCUGUUGAAAGAUUUGGUGGACAUCUUGAAGCCAUUUGGAGAAGCAACUGAUUUGACACAGGGGGAAAAGGUCAUCACAAUCAGUGCUGUUGUUCCAUCCAUCUUGUCCCUCAACCACCACCUUGAGAAACUGAAGCCUCUGGUCUGUUUUCUGAGCGGCCUGGUCAGAAGUCUCCAGACAUCCCUGAACAAAAGAUUUCUUGGAAUCUUCAUCAAUGUGAAAAUGGCCAGGACACAAGAUGGGAUCACUGCUCCCUUUUCAGAUCCAGUCUACCUCAAAGCAGCUGUCUUGGAUCCAGCCUUUUCUCUGUUGUGGGUGGAGCCCCAUGUGCUGGUCAGUCGUGAUGUCAAGGCAGAGGUGGCACAACAGGUUAAAGAAUUGAUCCUGCAAGAUGCUGCAGAGACUGAGCAACCUGCGCCUCUUGUUGAUGAAAAAGAGCAAGGGGACCUUGGAGAAGGAGAAGGGCUGUUUGCUGCUUACCACAAGAGACAGAAGAAGGAUGUUGGGACUACUCCAGCACUACAGCUAAGUCACUACCUUGACAUAGCUGAAGGACAGAAUGCCCUUUUGUUCUGGGCAUUGAACAUGAAGACUCUUCCUUCACUGUUCCGAGUGGCCAUGAGAGUCUUGGCAGUGCCUGCCUCCAGUGCUCCAGUGGAGCGAGUUUUCAGCCAUGGUGGCAUCAUACUACGCCCCCAUCGUGCACAAAUGACUGACAGACUCUUGGCCAGUUUGGUCUUUUGCAAAUGCAAUGCAGCAUAUGGCCCUGACAUAUAAAAAGUACAACCUUUUUGUUAUGUUAUAUGUCAUGUUUUUUCAAUGUUAACACUUUUGUACAAAUAAGUACAGUUGCACUUUAUUUUUCAAAUGUGUUUAUUCUGUAAAGGAAUGAGUCAAAUGUUUAAAAUGACUGGUUAAUAGUGCUAUUAUAAAGUGCAAUGUCAGCACAAUUUUCUUUCCUGCAAUUUAAAAUGCACUUGUUUUAAUAAAUAAAUACAGCAUUUGAAAAACAUACACAAUCUGUGUUAAUAUAUUAGUCUGUAGUUAAAAGGACUUGAAAGGACUCGAAACUCAAAAUGCAGGACUUGGGACUUGACUUGAGACUUUCCAGUCUUGACUUUGGACUUGACUCGGGACUUGCCUGUCUUGACUCGAGACUUGACUCGGACUUGAGGGCAAAGACUUGAGACUUACUUGUGACUUGCAAAACAAUGACUUGGUCCCACCUCUGGUCUGAACGCACUGUGUCGGCGGAGAAUGACCAAGUAUUGUGUGUCUGAGUGAAGCACGGAGGCAGACAUGUGUGCACGGAGGAAAUACUUGUUGGAAUUGGGCCCAUUGUUAGCAUAACAUCGGCCAUAAAAGCUAAAAACAGUGUCAGACUUUGUUUUCUCCUGGAUGCUACAAUACAUUACUUUAUUUUGUUAUGUAUGGCAGUUAAUUUGAAGCCGUACAUUAAGGAGAAACCCUAAACAUAGUUAAACCGGAUGUAUAGCGUAGCACUUUUAUUUUGAAGCCAGAAAAGUGUGUGAUUGGUUUGAGA